ACUUUGCAAACUCUCACUCUUUUCCCUCUUCAGUUUUUGCUCUUCACUAUUUCCCUUUCAGUUUUUAUACCCUCACAUUUACUAUCAAUGGCGUUUUCCACCGACGCAUCGACAUUUUCACCAUCAAAUCAGGAUCCGCUAUCUGCGAUGGCGACGAAAAUGAUUGUUAACGACGAAGAAUCAUUGCAGGCAAAUAGUACUCUGUACUAACAAAUUCAAGUCGAAGGUGAAAUUAAGAUUGAUCAUGUUGAGAUCUGAUCAGAUAUACUGAAUUUUGUAUGUUUUUCAGUUUAUUUGUGUUAAAUUUGAUGUUUUAUGAGGGGUUUUUUGAGUUUAUAUAAUUGAAAAAAAAAAAAUUUGGAUGAAAAUUGAAGUUGGGUUUUGAUUGAAUUUGGUGGAUUUUAUUUAUUUUUCAGUGAAUUUUGAUGUUUUAUGACAGAUUUUUGAGCUGAUAUAACUAAAAAGAUUAAAUUUUGAAUAAAAAUUGGGUCGUCAUCAUCGUCGGCUGCUGUGGUGAUGGUCUCUACAUGAAUAGGGGUCUAAGUCCGACUCGAAUAUCACCAGCAGUAAUCGAAAUCGAAGCAAAAGAACAAAUAAGGAAGGAAAGAGAGAGGCAUAAUGGGUUUGGAUUGGAGGAGGAAUCCAAAUUUGACAUCUUCGUCUAAGAACUCCAUUGAUGACAAGCUUG
RNAcentral lists this long non-coding RNA (688 nucleotides) under Capsicum annuum. RNAcentral's name for it is "long non-coding RNA (CANN_LNC008095)". The record is from RNAcentral. Lineage: Eukaryota; Viridiplantae; Streptophyta; Magnoliopsida; Solanales; Solanaceae.